RNAcentral lists this non-coding RNA (30 nucleotides) under Homo sapiens (human). The record is from RNAcentral. Lineage: Eukaryota; Metazoa; Chordata; Mammalia; Primates; Hominidae.
UCAUUGCCCACCAAGAGGGGUCCGAUGCAA